AACGAACGCUGGCGGCAUGCCUAACACAUGCAAGUCGAACGAAGCCUUCGGGCUUAGUGGCGCACGGGUGCGUAACACGCGGGAAUCUGCCCUUCGGUUCGGAAUAACAGUUAGAAAUGACUGCUAAUACCGGAUGAUGACGUAAGUCCAAAGAUUUAUCGCCGAAGGAUGAGCCCGCGUAGGAUUAGGUAGUUGGUAGGGUAAUGGCCUACCAAGCCGACGAUCCUUAGCUGGUCUGAGAGGAUGAUCAGCCACACUGGGACUGAGACACGGCCCAGACUCCUACGGGAGGCAGCAGUGGGGAAUAUUGGACAAUGGGCGAAAGCCUGAUCCAGCAAUGCCGCGUGAGUGAUGAAGGCCUUAGGGUUGUAAAGCUCUUUUAUCAGGGAUGAUAAUGACAGUACCUGGAGAAUAAGCUCCGGCUAACUCCGUG
Molecule: ribosomal RNA, 433 nt
Filed under: uncultured bacterium
Lineage: Bacteria
Description: bacterial SSU rRNA
Rfam family: Bacterial small subunit ribosomal RNA
Source: RNAcentral